Molecule: ribosomal RNA, 502 nt
Filed under: uncultured bacterium
Lineage: Bacteria
Description: bacterial SSU rRNA
Rfam family: Bacterial small subunit ribosomal RNA
Source: RNAcentral
AGAGUUUGAUCAUGGCUCAGAUUGAACGCUGGCGGCAUGCCUUACACAUGCAAGUCGAACGGCAGCGCGGGGCAACCUGGCGGCGAGUGGCGAACGGGUGAGUAAUAUAUCGGAACAUACCUUAGAGUGGGGGAUAACGUAGCGAAAGUUACGCUAAUACCGCAUACGCACUAAGGUGGAAAGUGGGGGAUUCGCAAGAACCUCAUGCUCAUGGAGUGGCCGAUAUCUGAUUAGCUAGUUGGUGAGGUAAAGGCUCACCAAGGCGACGAUCAGUAGCUGGUUUGAGAGGACGACCAGCCACACUGGAACUGAGACACGGUCCAGACUCCUACGGGAGGCAGCAGUGGGAAUUUUGGACAAUGGGGCAACCCUGAUCCAGCAAUGCCGCGUGAGUGAAGAAGGCCUUCGGGUUGUAAAGCUCUUUUGUCAGGGAAGAAACGGUGAGUUCUAAUAAAGCUUGCUAAUGACGGUACCUGAAGAAUAAGCACCGGCUAACUACGUG